This 720-nucleotide ribosomal RNA is filed under the name Meripilus vitreus. Its description in RNAcentral is "LSU rRNA". It matches the Rfam family "Eukaryotic large subunit ribosomal RNA", at positions 144 to 889 of the family's 3401-position model. Lineage: Eukaryota; Fungi; Basidiomycota; Agaricomycetes; Polyporales; Meripilaceae. The record is from RNAcentral.
UGUAAUCUGGAGAAGUGCUUUCCGCGCUGGACCGUGUACAAGUCUCUUGGAAUAGAGCGUCAUAGAGGGUGAGAAUCCCGUCUUUGACACGGAACACCAGUGCUUUGUGAUGCGCUUUUCAAAAGAGUCGAGUUGUUUUGGGAAUGCAGCUCAAAAAUGGGGUGGUAAAAUUCCAUCUAAAAGCUAAAAUAUUGGCGAGAGACCGAUAGCGAAACAAGUACCGUGAGGGAAAGAUGAAAAGCACUUUGGAAAGAGAGUUAAACAGUACGUGAAAUUGCUGAAAGGGAAACACUUGAAGUCAGUCGCGUUGUUCAGAACUCAGCCUAGCCUUGGCUUGGUGCAUUUUCUGAAUAACGGGCCAGCAUCAAUUUUGACUGUUGGAUAAAGGCCGAGGAAAUGUGGCUCCUUUGGGAGUGUUAUAGUCCUUGGUUGCAUACAAUGGUUGGGAUUGAGGAACUCAGCAUGCCUUUAUGGUCGGGGUUCGCCCACGUUCAUGCUUAGGAUGCUGGCGUAAUGGCUUUAAAUGACCCGUCUUGAAACACGGACCAAGGAGUCUAACAUGCCUGCGAGUGUUGGGGUGGAAAACCCGAGCGCGCAAUGAAAGUGAAAGUUGGGAACCCUGUCGUGGGGAGCACCGACGCCCGGACCAGACCUUCUGUGACGGAUCCGCGGUAGAGCAUGUAUGUAGGAAACUCUGGUGGAGGCUCGUAGCGAUUCUGA